Molecule: ribosomal RNA, 254 nt
Filed under: uncultured bacterium
Lineage: Bacteria
Description: partial 16S ribosomal RNA
Rfam family: Bacterial small subunit ribosomal RNA
Source: RNAcentral
UACGUAGGGUGCGAGCGUUGUCCGGAAUUAUUGGGCGUAAAGAGCUCGUAGGCGGUCUGUCGCGUCGAUCGUGAAAACUUGGGGCUUAACCCUGAGCUUGCGGUCGAUACGGGCAUGACUGGAGUUCGGCAGGGGAGACUGGAAUUCCUGGUGUAGCGGUGAAAUGCGCAGAUAUCAGGAGGAACACCGGUGGCGAAGGCGGGGCUCUGGGCCGAUACUGACGCUGAGGAGCGAAAGCGUGGGGAGCGAACAGG